ACUAAUUUUAUAUAUUACUAUUUUAAUAUUUAUUUACCUGUUUUUUGAGAAAGAAUAUUAAGAAAAUUGGAUAUCGUAAUAGAUGUAUUCUGACUUAUAUUGAUAUGACUGUUUUCAUUUAUAAUAUUGUCUUAAACUAUGAAAAACAUAUGGUCUUACAUUUAUAGGAGAGUUUUCAUAAAAAAUCAACACUUAUUAUACUAAAAUAACACAAAUAAAAUUAACUAAAUUGAUAAAUUAUGGAUUUAUCUUUUUGAAAUUAUGAAUGACUUUUAUUAGAUUUUAAAUAAUUUUUUGAAGUCGAAUUGGUAUUGAGAUAUAAAUACUCUAAAAGUUAUUGGUUUGUUUAUAUGUAUUUCUUUAAAGAUAUUUGAUGAUUUUUUAACAACGAAUCUCUUGUUUUUCUAAUCUAGUUAUGAAUUUGUUGUGAUUUUUAAGGCAUACACCUCUUUAAAUAGAGGAUUAAGGGUUACAAUGGUUGGUUAACAUUAAAAGUUGCAAUAAUUUAUUAUUAAAGACUA
This 521-nucleotide long non-coding RNA is filed under the name Brassica napus (rape). RNAcentral's name for it is "long non-coding RNA (BNAP_LNC006807)". Lineage: Eukaryota; Viridiplantae; Streptophyta; Magnoliopsida; Brassicales; Brassicaceae. The record is from RNAcentral.